UGGCACUUCCCCUUCCUCUGCCCUGUAUCUUCUCGGUUGAUCAUGGCCUGAAUUUCCAUUUCCUCAUGUAUGUGAGACGACCUAUGAAGCCUCCCCACCUGACUCACCCUGGAUCCUGGUAGAUGCAGCAGAGUAAGAAAAUAAAUGAGCCAGAAUCCAAAGGGUACUGGCUGAUUUGGCAGGAGGCCUCUUUAUUGAACUUAAACAUGGGGCGUGAACAUCCUAGUCCUAAAUCACUGCAGCCACUUUAGUCUCUGUGGUUCCUAUGGGAACCAGAAACAUCAGCCAGCUUCUCUGCACUAGGAACAUGAUUCAUUAGUCAUGCCUCAUCAGCAGCGCCCAGGUUCAGUCAGUGCCUGUGCUAGACUGGACUUGCUUUCCAGAUACCUCAAGGGCCUGAGUGACUCCAGGACAGAGCGUAGAAAGGGUGUUUGGGUCAUGGAUAGACCAGAAGUCAUGCAGUCACUGCCUCAAUCUCUAGGAAUUACUGGUGCACUGGUUUGCUCUGUCUUUUUGAGGAAAAUUAAGGUGAUUCCCUGCCCCUGUCCCCCAUCAAAAUUUAUCCCUGGAAGCCUGAUGAACCAGUUAGGAGAAUCUGGAGUUUCUCUCUGUCAUCUUCAACCACCAGAAAGGUGAAAUGGAGAUUGAAAAGCUCAACCCACAAUAUCUAUUACAAUGACCAAAUGUAUUGAUCCACAAAUAUGAUAUUAUGUAGCUUCAGGUGAGUGAGUAGAUUGUGUAUAUGUGUGUGUAUGAUCAAAAGAGAGAAUAUAAAUAAAGAGACACCUGAUUAAGUCA
Molecule: long non-coding RNA, 798 nt
Filed under: Bos indicus x Bos taurus (hybrid cattle)
Lineage: Eukaryota; Metazoa; Chordata; Mammalia; Artiodactyla; Bovidae
Description: lncRNA (ENSBIXG00000004915.1)
Source: RNAcentral